AUGUGGAAUUGGAAAUCCAUUGCCAAAUCUCAGAUCUGGAGGCUGAAAAGUCCACAACCAAGGUGCUGGCAUCUGGUUUGGUGAGUCCUUCUUGCUGCAUCACCCCGUGGCAAAAGGUGGAAUGGCAAGCUAACCAAAUGCUACAUGAAGCCUCUUUUAUAAGGCCCUUAAUCCUGUUAAUGAAGGAGGAGCCCUAAAGGCUUAAUCACCUGUGAAAGGCACCAUCUCUUAAUGCCAUCACAUUGGCAACAUCUUUAUUUUGGAGGGGACACAUUCAAAUGAUAGCAUCCAUUCAUCUCUUGUUGGACAUUUGGGCUGAUUCUGGUGUUUGGCUAUUAUGAAUAAUCCUGCUGUGAGCAUUAAUGCACAGCUGUUUGUGUGAAAAUGCUUCCUUUUAUUUACUACCUAAAAGGUAGCAUUCUAUAGACGUAUCUUUGGCACUUUGCUUUUUCACUGUAACUUUAUUUUAGAAGUCACUCCACUUAAGUUUGUAGUGAUUUUUCUCACUUUUUUUUUUUUUUUUUUUUUUUUACAGCCACAUAGUAUUCUAUUGUAUGGAUGUACCAUAGCUUAUUCAACAAUAAACCUAUGUAUGGACAUUUAGAUUCUUUCCAAUAGUUUGCAAUUAUAAACAAUGUUGUGA
This is a long non-coding RNA of Sapajus apella (tufted capuchin), 643 nucleotides long. RefSeq lists it as uncharacterized. The record is from RefSeq and is a predicted model, not a curated record. The transcript has 2 exons. NCBI's taxonomy places the organism in Eukaryota, Metazoa, Chordata, Mammalia, Primates, Cebidae.